UGAGGAAUAUUGGUCAAUGGACGGAAGUCUGAACCAGCCAAGUAGCGUGCAGGAUGACGGCCCUCCGGGUUGUAAACUGCUUUUAGUUGGGAAUAAAAAAGAGGACGUGUCCUCUAUUGUAUGUACCUUCAGAAAAAGGACCGGCUAAUUCCGUGCCAGCAGCCGCGGUAAUACGGAAGGUCCAGGCGUUAUCCGGAUUUAUUGGGUUUAAAGGGAGCGUAGGCGGAUUAUUAAGUCAGUGGUGAAAGACGGUGGCUCAACCAUCGUUAGCCAUUGAAACUGGUAGUCUUGAGUGCAGACAGGGAUGCUGGAACUCGUGGUGUAGCGGUGAAAUGCUUAGAUAUCACGAUGAACUCCGAUCGCGAAGGCAGGUGUCCGGGCUGCAACUGACGCUGAGGCUCGAAAGUGUGGGUAUCAAACAGGAUUAGAUACCCUGGUAGUCCACACAGUAAACGAUGUAUACUCGCGGUUUGCGAUACAAUGUAAGCCGCCAAGCGAAAGCAUUAAGUAUACCACCUGGGGAGUACGCCGGCAACGGUG
This 540-nucleotide ribosomal RNA is filed under the name uncultured bacterium. RNAcentral's name for it is "bacterial SSU rRNA". It matches the Rfam family "Bacterial small subunit ribosomal RNA", at positions 355 to 896 of the family's 1533-position model. The record is from RNAcentral.